CCUGUAAAGGCAAGCAGCAGUGUGAGGAGGCAGAUGAGGCCACACACACAGGGCAGGAUGAUGAUGAGGAGCUUCAGGAGCUUCGUUGAGCUGAGUUUAUGUGAACAUGUGUCCUCCAUCACAUGCACAUCAACACCUGAUACCUUUAAAACACACACACACACACACACACACACACACACACACACACACAUCAUACCACACACUAAGCCAGGAUACACACUGCAAUGUUUGGUUACAAAAACGGACAAUUACAAAAGCUGUAGGGAGAUAACACCCUCAACACCACCAAUAACACCGUCAACACCACCGAUAGCACCUUCAACACCAACACCACCAAUAACACCGUCAACACCACCGAUAACACCGUCAACACCACCGAUAACACAGUCAACACCACCGAUAACACCAUCAACACCACCGAUAACACCGUCAACACCACCGAUAACACCGUCAACACCACCGAUAACACAGUCAACACCACCGAUAACACAGUCAACACCACCGAUAACACCGUCAACACCACCGAUAAACACCGUCAACACCACCGAUAACACAGUCAACACCACCGAUAACACCAUCAACACCACCGAUAAACACCGUCAACACCACCAAUAACACCGUCAACACCACCGAUAACACAGUCAACACCACCGAUAACACAGUCAACACCACCGAUAACACCGUCAACACCAACGCCACCGAUAACACAGUCAACACACACCGAUAACACAGUCAACACCAACACCACCGAUAACACCCUCAACACCACCGAUAACACCGUCAACACCACCGAUAACACCGUCAACACCAACACCACCGAUAACACCGUCAACACCACCAAUAUCACCCUCAACACCACCGAUAACAGUCAACACCACCGAUAACACAGUCAACACCACCGAUAACACCGUCAACACCACCGAUAACACCGUCAACACCACCGAUAACACCUCAACACCACCGAUAACACAGUCAACACCACCGAUAACACCGUCAACACCAACAUAUUCCACGUGUAGAUUACAAAUAAACAACAACAUUUAAUCAGUAAAAUACAGCCUUAACACUUCCUUAAAUCCACAU
This is a long non-coding RNA of Ictalurus punctatus (channel catfish), 1086 nucleotides long. The record is from Ensembl. NCBI's taxonomy places the organism in Eukaryota, Metazoa, Chordata, Actinopteri, Siluriformes, Ictaluridae.